RNAcentral lists this ribosomal RNA (253 nucleotides) under uncultured bacterium. Its description in RNAcentral is "partial 16S ribosomal RNA". It matches the Rfam family "Bacterial small subunit ribosomal RNA", at positions 524 to 776 of the family's 1533-position model. The record is from RNAcentral.
UACGUAGGGUGCGAGCGUUAAUCGGAAUUACUGGGCGUAAAGCGCACGUAGGCGGAUUUGUAAGUCAGGGGUGAAAUCCCGGGGCUCAACCUCGGAACUGCCUUUGAUACUGCAAAUCUCGAGUCCGGAAGAGGUGAGUGGAAUUCCUAGUGUAGAGGUGAAAUUCGUAGAUAUUAGGAAGAACACCAGUGGCGAAGGCGGCUCACUGGUCCGGUACUGACGCUGAGGUGCGAAAGCGUGGGGAGCAAACAGG